UUUUGCUCAAAGAGAGCAACAGAAAUCAUCUCUGCCGCCCUCUUCCCUGGAGCACAUCCCUGUAGGAUCCCAUGGCUACCAUCCAACAUGAUAUCAAUAGUAGGAUGCAUGACAAACCAGACCCCACUCAGCUAUUGCAUGCCAUUGCCUCCCAAAACAAACAUUAAAAGAAAUGGAGCCACUACUGAACCUGAUGAUUUAAUUGGGACCAAGAAUGAAAGACUGCUAGCACUACAACUGAAAUACACUGAAGCGAAACCCAACUCUACUCCUAAU
Long non-coding RNA from Alligator mississippiensis (American alligator), 276 nucleotides. RefSeq lists it as uncharacterized. The record is from RefSeq and is a predicted model, not a curated record. The transcript has 3 exons. Lineage: Eukaryota; Metazoa; Chordata; Crocodylia; Alligatoridae.